UACGUAGGGUGCGAGCGUUGCCCGGAUUUAUUGGGCGUAAAGGGCGCGUAGGCGGCUACGCACGUCCGUUGUGAAAUCGCUCGGCUCAACUGGGCGGGGUCAGCGGAUACGGCGUAGCUGGAGCAAGCUAGGGGGCAAUGGAAUUCCCGGUGUAGUGGUGGAAUGCGCAGAUAUCAGGAGGAACACCGGUGGCGAAGGCGGUUCUCUGGGCAUUACCUGACGCUGAGGAGCGAAAGCAUGGGGAGCGAACAGG
RNAcentral lists this ribosomal RNA (253 nucleotides) under uncultured bacterium. Its description in RNAcentral is "partial 16S ribosomal RNA". It matches the Rfam family "Bacterial small subunit ribosomal RNA", at positions 524 to 776 of the family's 1533-position model. The record is from RNAcentral.